GUCCAUGGCUACACCGCCCUGAACGCGCCCGAUCUCGUCUGACCUCGGAAGCUAAGCAGGGUCGGGCCUGGUUAGUACCUGGAUGGGAGAUGCAAAAUCUAAGCCACCACGAUGAGCAGGAGUCAGGCCC
RNAcentral lists this ribosomal RNA (130 nucleotides) under Microcebus murinus (gray mouse lemur). The record is from RNAcentral. Lineage: Eukaryota; Metazoa; Chordata; Mammalia; Primates; Cheirogaleidae.